UCCCUGGAGGAGUAGUGGUUAGGCCUCGGUGCUCUCACUACUGCGGCCCGGGUUCGAUUCCCAGCCAGGGAA
This 72-nucleotide transfer RNA is filed under the name Pangasianodon hypophthalmus (striped catfish). It matches the Rfam family "tRNA". From Rfam's summary of the family: Transfer RNA (tRNA) molecules are approximately 80 nucleotides in length. Their secondary structure includes four short double-helical elements and three loops (D, anti-codon, and T loops). Lineage: Eukaryota; Metazoa; Chordata; Actinopteri; Siluriformes; Pangasiidae. The record is from Rfam by way of RNAcentral.